RNAcentral lists this unclassified non-coding RNA (263 nucleotides) under plant metagenome. RNAcentral's name for it is "partial contains small subunit ribosomal RNA, internal transcribed spacer 1, and 5.8S ribosomal RNA". The record is from RNAcentral.
UUUCCGUAGGUGAGCCUGCGGAAGGAUCAUUAUUGCAUAACCGAGGUGCGAGGGCUGUCGCUGACCCGAAAGGUCGUGCACGCCCGAGUGCCCUCACACACAUCCAUCUCACCCCUAUGUGCACCACCGCGUGGGUCCCCCUUUGGCUUGUUCGGAGGGGGGCUUACGUUUUCACACAAACUUUGUAUGCAGUGUAGAAUGUAUUUUUUGUUUUUGCGAUCACGCAAUCAAUACAACUUUCAACAACGGAUCUCUUGGUUCUG